UUUUUUUUUUGUUUUAUUUUUUUUCUUCAUUGGAUAAAUCCAACUAAAAUUCCUUGCUCAUUAAAGUUUUCCAGUAGAUUGUGAGAAGAGAAAGAACAUUAUACUAGUCAUAGUACAGGAGAAGUGUGUGUUUUUACAUAUAUGUAUACUUCUUUUUUCACAAUAUUUGGUGCUCUGCACUUUCUUUUCACAAUAUUUAGAGCUUUUGGUUCCCAGUUUGAAAACAACAAACUUGAAUUUCAGUAUAACAACACUGAAGAUAGAAAACUCAGAAUUAGAUUGCAACAAUUCUGAAAUCCUAAUCAAGUAUACAUAUCCAAAUGCCAAGAAAACUAAAGCCAGUAUGAUUGAUACCUCAUGUGUAAAUGUCCUA
RNAcentral lists this unclassified non-coding RNA (373 nucleotides) under Hevea brasiliensis (rubber tree). Lineage: Eukaryota; Viridiplantae; Streptophyta; Magnoliopsida; Malpighiales; Euphorbiaceae. The record is from RNAcentral.